AAAAACAUAGCCCUUGUAAUAAUCAAAGGUGCAACCUGCCCAAUGAUUUUAAAGUAAAUAAUAAUAACAAUCUUAUAAUAAAAUUUAAAGGACGCAGUAUCUUGACUGUGGUAAUGUAGCAUAAUCACUCGCCAUUUAAUUGAUGGAUAGUAUGAAUGGUUAAACGAAUAUCACACUGUCUCUAAUAAAAUACUCAUGAAAUUAAAAUAAUAGUUAAGAUGCUAUUUAAAACUGUAAGACGAAAAGACCCUAUAGAGCUUAACUACAUUUUCUCUUAAACUAAUAAAAUAAACCAUUUUAAAAAAGAGAAAAAGGUAGUUUAGUUGGGGCGACUAUCUUCUAUAAUAAACGAAGAUAAGCAAUGUUAAUGAAAAACUUAUUGUAUAAUACAUAAAUUUAACAAUUAUAAAAAUAGGCCAUAAUGACCCGUUAGGAUUUAGUAAUAAACCUAACGAUCAAUAAAUAAAAGCUACCUUAGGGAUAACAGGAUAAUUUUGUUUUAGAGAUCCUAUCGAAAACAAAGUUUGUCACCUCUAUGUUGAAUUAAGAUAUCCUGAUAGUGCAGCAGCCAUCAAAGGUAGGUCUGUUCGACCUUUAAAAUCUUACAUGAUUU
Molecule: ribosomal RNA, 613 nt
Filed under: Catablema vesicarium
Lineage: Eukaryota; Metazoa; Cnidaria; Hydrozoa; Anthoathecata; Pandeidae
Description: partial 16S ribosomal RNA
Rfam family: Bacterial large subunit ribosomal RNA
Source: RNAcentral